UGCAUCGGCCGGGAAUCGAACCCGGGCCACCCGCGUGGCAGGCGAGCAUUCUACCACUAAGCUACCGAUGC
Molecule: transfer RNA, 71 nt
Filed under: Cordylochernes scorpioides
Lineage: Eukaryota; Metazoa; Arthropoda; Arachnida; Pseudoscorpiones; Chernetidae
Description: tRNA-Gly
Source: RNAcentral